This 204-nucleotide ribosomal RNA is filed under the name uncultured Aminicenantes bacterium. RNAcentral's name for it is "partial 16S ribosomal RNA". It matches the Rfam family "Bacterial small subunit ribosomal RNA", at positions 1179 to 1382 of the family's 1533-position model. Lineage: Bacteria; Candidatus Aminicenantota. The record is from RNAcentral.
AUGACGUCAAGUCAGCAUGGCCCUUAUGUCCAGGGCUACACACGUGCUACAAUGGGCGAUACAGAGGGAAGCAAGGCCGCAAGGUAGAGCUAAUCCCUAAAGUCGUCCUCAGUUCGGAUUGCAGGCUGCAACUCGCCUGCAUGAAGUCGGAAUCGCUAGUAAUCGCGGAUCAGCUACGCCGCGGUGAAUACGUUCUCGGGCCUU